Glycine soja is the source of this 1348-nucleotide long non-coding RNA. RefSeq lists it as uncharacterized. The record is from RefSeq and is a predicted model, not a curated record. The transcript has 2 exons. NCBI's taxonomy places the organism in Eukaryota, Viridiplantae, Streptophyta, Magnoliopsida, Fabales, Fabaceae.
AAUAUUUCAAUCCUUGGUGUGUUAAGGACAAGUGUUUCAAAUUAGUCGUGUUAGAUAAUGUAUCUUGUUAUGAGUCUAUUUCUAAUCUAUAUAAGACUCCUUAUGUAAUAAGUUUUUGUAUAUAAGUUUUUGUAGUCUUUGGAUUCAUCAAGGUGUAUAAUAUUAUCAUUAACCUUUUCUCAUUAGAAUAUUUCUUUCACAAGUGCCCCGGUUUCUCUCAUCUUCCAUGAUGUCUCCGACAACGGUGCCUCCGACGACCUCCAAUGAUUGACUUAGCUUUGUUGCUAUCGUAGAUUCAUCUUUGUCACGACUUCGCUGUCAUCGUAGAUCUAUCUCCAUCACGGCUUCGUCGUCGUUGCAGCUUAAGCCCCCAUUCCCAUUUAUAUCGUGGCAUAUUUCGACAAAUUUCCUUCCUUUUUCAUUUUUUUUUUUUUUUUUGCAUUUUCAAGUUUCAUUCUUCGAAUUUCAGUCAUGAAUUGUGCAUCGGUAUUCUAUAGUGCGUAUGACGAAAGAGGUUACCAAAAUUGUGAAUUGAUUGCAUGGGUUUAGAGAAUGCCAGAGCUUCAUAAUGGAGUGCGACAGGGGCGUGGCCGUGACUAGAAAGCAUUGGAUCCGACAAAGAAGAAGGUGAAGGCUCGUGCGGCACCAAGAGGAAGACCGAGAGCUAGAUUGGCGGCGAAGGAAUUGGAGUGCCAGGAGCCGUUGUCCCGUUAGUGACACCAAAACUAUUUAUACCAAUACCGGAGCCAACGAAAUAAGAGAAAAUGAAGUUGUUGUGGACAUGAAUAUGCGUGACGAAAGUAAUGGGUUGAGUGGUAAUAAGCCUGAUGAGGAUGCCAUCACUCCACCUUUUCCUCACAGGCUUGAUUAAUUUGGGGAAUAAGUUUGUUGCAAAUGCUCACAGAUUCAACUUUCUAGGAAUAAUUUGUUAUGAAGUUUGCAUGUUCCCCAAGCUAUGUCAGUGGAUAACAAUUGAUUUUUCAUAAAAUUGAUAAGCUGAGGCAAAGUUGCAACAACGGCAAAGCCACGAUGAAGACAAAUAUGUGACAGUGACAGAGAUGAAUCUGCUACAACAUUCAAAGCUAUGUCAUUCGUCAGAGACACUAUUGCUGAAGACAUCAUGAAAGAUGCAGAAGACAAGGCAUUGUGGAAUAAAUGUUAUGAUGUGAGAAGGUUCAUGAUAAUAUUAUGCACUUUGAUGAAUUCAAUGGCUAAAAAAAUUUGUAUACCAUACACAAAUUAUUAUAUUUGACCACCGUAGCUUGCACCUAUGUAAUAAUAGAGUUAGGCGUAGCAAAUUAAUAGUUGUUAGGACAAAGGAUGAUAAAAGACCUUGAGUUUUUAUUCA